Molecule: ribosomal RNA, 483 nt
Filed under: uncultured bacterium
Lineage: Bacteria
Description: bacterial SSU rRNA
Rfam family: Bacterial small subunit ribosomal RNA
Source: RNAcentral
AUUGAACGCUGGCGGCAUGCCUUACACAUGCAAGUCGAACGGCAGCGGACCUUCGGGUGCCGGCGAGUGGCGAACGGGUGAGUAAUAUAUCGGAACGUACCUUCAGGUGGGGGAUAACGUAGCGAAAGUUACGCUAAUACCCGCAUAUUCUGUGAGCAGGAAAGCAGGGGAUCGCAAGACCUUGCGCUGAUUGAGCGGCCGAUAUCAGAUUAGCUAGUUGGUGAGGUAAAGGCUCACCAAGGCGACGAUCUGUAGCUGGUCUGAGAGGAUGGCCAGCCACACUGGAACUGAGACACGGUCCAGACUCCUACGGGAGGCAGCAGUGGGGAAUAUUGGACAAUGGGGGCAACCCUGAUCCAGCCAUGCCGCGUGUGUGAAGAAGGCCUUCGGGUUGUAAAGCACUUUAAGCGAGGAGGAAGGUCACUGUACUAAUAUUAUAGUGAAUUGACGUUACUCGCAGAAUAAGCACCGGCUAACUCUGUG